Molecule: long non-coding RNA, 448 nt
Organism: Anthonomus grandis grandis
Lineage: Eukaryota; Metazoa; Arthropoda; Insecta; Coleoptera; Curculionidae
Exons: 2
Source: RefSeq, a predicted model, not a curated record
CUAUUUGAUGAAUGAGCAAACAAACAAAUUAAAUACUAAGUAAAGAAACUGACAAGAUAUCAUACGGUUAACGUUUAGAUGACAGUUGAUCUUAAUUGAUGUCGCAGUCAAGUUAAGUGAGUGUCAUCAAAAUAGAGUAUAUAGAAUAGAGUCUAGGCGGUCGUAGUGAGAAGAAGAAAAUCCACUGAUCCAUAUGAGUGUCGAACUCGUCUAAUGAUGCAAUAAGUUGAAAUACAUAAUCCAUUGUGAUCAUAGUAUAAGCACUAUUGUUACUAGUUAUUGGUGAACUGAGUGGAGUUACCUGCUAUGAGGCAAAAGUGAAUAUAAAUAGGGUUAAGUUUAGUUUGAGUAAAAAGCAAAUACUUACCAUAUUCUACUCCUGCUAUAUUGUAAAACUGUUUGAUUCUCGUAUCUUAACGGCUAAUAAAUCGGCAUAUUAUGUAUUGUA